AUUGAACGCUGGCGGCAUGCUUUACACAUGCAAGUCGAACGGUAACAGGCCGCAAGGUGCUGACGAGUGGCGAACGGGUGAGUAAUGCAUCGGAACGUGCCCAGUCGUGGGGGAUAACGCAGCGAAAGUUGCGCUAAUACCGCAUACGAUCUAUGGAUGAAAGCGGGGGACCGUAAGGCCUCGCGCGAUUGGAGCGGCCGCUGUCAGAUUAGGUAGGUGGUGGGGUAAAGGCUCACCAAGCCGACGAUCUGUAGCUGGUCUGAGAGGACGACCAGCCACACUGGGACUGAGACACGGCCCAGACUCCUACGGGAGGCAGCAGUGGGGAAUUUUGGACAAUGGGCGCAAGCCUGAUCCAGCAAUGCCGCGUGCAGGAAGAAGGCCUUUGGGUUGUAAACUGCUUUUGUACGGAACGAAACGGUCCUGGUUAAUACCCGGGGCUAAUGACGGUACCGUAAGAAUAAGCACCGGCUAACUACGUGCCAGCCGCCGCAGUAA
RNAcentral lists this ribosomal RNA (498 nucleotides) under uncultured bacterium. RNAcentral describes it as "partial 16S ribosomal RNA". It matches the Rfam family "Bacterial small subunit ribosomal RNA", at positions 30 to 523 of the family's 1533-position model. The record is from RNAcentral.